GCGACCCCAGGAUGGGCGAGUCCACCCGCUGAGUUUAAGCAUAUCAAUAAGCGGAGGAAAAGAAACUUACGAGGAUUCCCCU
This 82-nucleotide ribosomal RNA is filed under the name Trichocentrum pulchrum. RNAcentral describes it as "partial 26S ribosomal RNA". It matches the Rfam family "Eukaryotic large subunit ribosomal RNA", at positions 1 to 81 of the family's 3401-position model. The record is from RNAcentral. Lineage: Eukaryota; Viridiplantae; Streptophyta; Magnoliopsida; Asparagales; Orchidaceae.